GAUGAACGCUGGCGGCGUGCCUAAUACAUGCAAGUCGAGCGAACGGACGAGAAGCUUGCUUCUCUGAUGUUAGCGGCGGACGGGUGAGUAACACGUGGAUAACCUACCUAUAAGACUGGGAUAACUUCGGGAAACCGUAGCUAAUACCGGAUAAUAUUUUGAACCGCAUGGUUCAAAAGUGAAAGACGGUCUUGCUGUCACUUAUAGAUGGAUCCGCGCUGCAUUAGCUAGUUGGUAAGGUAACGGCUUACCAAGGCAACGAUGCAUAGCCGACCUGAGAGGGUGAUCGGCCACACUGGAACUGAGACCCGGUCCAGACUCCUACGGGAGGCAGCAGUAGGGAAUCUUCCGCAAUGGGCGAAAGCCUGAAGGAGCAACGCCGCGUGAGUGAUGAAGGUCUUCGGAUCGUAAAACUCUGUUAUUAGGGAAGAACAUAUGUGUAAGUAACUGUGCACAUCUUGACGGUACCUAAUCAGAAAGCCACGGCUAACUACGUG
Molecule: ribosomal RNA, 497 nt
Filed under: uncultured bacterium
Lineage: Bacteria
Description: partial 16S ribosomal RNA
Rfam family: Bacterial small subunit ribosomal RNA
Source: RNAcentral